Molecule: ribosomal RNA, 639 nt
Filed under: uncultured bacterium
Lineage: Bacteria
Description: bacterial SSU rRNA
Rfam family: Bacterial small subunit ribosomal RNA
Source: RNAcentral
CGCGGCCUAUCAGCUUGUUGGUGAGGUAACGGCUCACCAAGGCAUUGACGGGUAGCUGGUCUGAGAGGACGAUCAGCCACACUGGGACUGAGACACGACCCAGACUCCUGCGGGAGGCAGCAGUGGGGAAUCUUGCGCAAUGGGCGAAAGCCUGACGCAGCAACGCCGCGUGGGGGAUGAAGGCUCUCGGGUUGUAAACCCCUUUCAGCAGGGACGAAAUUGACGGUACCUGCAGAAGAAGCCCCGGCCAACUACGUGCCAGCAGCCGCGGUGACACGUAGGGGGCGAGCGUUGUCCGGAAUUAUUGGGCGUAAAGAGCUCGUAGGCGGUUUAGUAAGUCAGAUGUGAAAGGUUGGGGCUCAACCCUAAGACUGCAUCCGAUACUGCUAUGACUAGAGUCCGGUAGAGGAGUGUGGAAUUCCUGGUGUAGCGGUGAAAUGCGCAGAUAUCAGGAGGAACACCGACGGCGAAGGCAGCACUCUGGGCCGGUACUGACGCUCAGGAGCGAAAGCGUGGGUAGCAAACAGGAUUAGAUACCCUGGUAGUCCACGCCGUAAACGUUGGGCACUAGGUGUGGGGCCUUAUCAACGGGUUCCGUGCCGUAGCUAACGCAUUAAGUGCCCCGCCUGGGGAGUACGG